AUUGAACGCUGGCGGCAUGCUUUACACAUGCAAGUCGAACGGCAGCGCGGGCUUCGGCCUGGCGGCGAGUGGCGAACGGGUGAGUAAUACAUCGGAACGUGCCCAGUAGUGGGGGAUAGCUCGGCGAAAGCCGGAUUAAUACCGCAUACGACCUGAGGGUGAAAGCGGGGGAUCUUCGGACCUCGCGCUAUUGGAGCGGCCGAUGGCAGAUUAGCUAGUUGGUGGGGUAAAGGCCUACCAAGGCGACGAUCUGUAGCUGGUCUGAGAGGACGACCAGCCACACUGGGACUGAGACACGGCCCAGAGUCCUACGGGAGGCAGCAGUGGGGAAUUUUGGACAAUGGGCGAAAGCCUGAUCCAGCAAUGCCGCGUGUGUGAUGAAGGCCUUCGGGUUGUAAAGCACUUUUGGCGGGAACGAAAAGGACUGUGCCAAUACCACGGUUCGAUGACGGUACCCGCAGAAUAAGCACCGGCUAACUACGUG
This 484-nucleotide ribosomal RNA is filed under the name uncultured bacterium. RNAcentral's name for it is "partial 16S ribosomal RNA". It matches the Rfam family "Bacterial small subunit ribosomal RNA", at positions 29 to 507 of the family's 1533-position model. The record is from RNAcentral.